Regulatory RNA element from Ruminiclostridium sp., 106 nucleotides. It matches the Rfam family "TPP riboswitch aptamer (THI element)". Rfam says of the family: Vitamin B(1) in its active form thiamin pyrophosphate (TPP) is an essential coenzyme that is synthesised by coupling of pyrimidine and thiazole moieties in bacteria. The record is from Rfam. Lineage: Bacteria; Bacillati; Bacillota; Clostridia; Eubacteriales; Oscillospiraceae.
CAGAAUAAACAGGGGAGCUUGUGUGACAGGCUGAGAGGAAGGUAGACCUUCGACCCUUGAACCUGAUGCGGAUAAUGCCGCCGGAGGAAGUCGUGAAGAUUGGAAC